RNAcentral lists this ribosomal RNA (253 nucleotides) under uncultured bacterium. RNAcentral's name for it is "partial 16S ribosomal RNA". It matches the Rfam family "Bacterial small subunit ribosomal RNA", at positions 524 to 776 of the family's 1533-position model. The record is from RNAcentral.
CACGUAGGAGGCGAGCGUUGUCCGGAAUCAUUGGGCGUAAAGAGCGCGCAGGCGGCUUGGCAAGUCGGGUGUGAAAUCCCGGGGCUCAACCCCGUGACUGCAUCCGAUACUGUCAGGCUAGAGGUAGGUAGGGGAGAUCGGAAUUCCUGGUGUAGCGGUGAAAUGCGCAGAUAUCAGGAGGAACACCGGUGGCGAAGGCGGCUAUCUGGACCGACAUUGACGCUGAGGCGCGAAAGCGUGGGGAGCAAACAGG